UCGGGGAGGGUUCUUAAACGAUCCCAAGAGCGAGAUUAAGACACAAACGAGGUCAGAUGCCGUACAACCUUACAAGUUUUAUUUCGUAUAACAACUGGUAAUAGUGACAGGACAGAGGGAAGAAGAAAGGAAAAGGAGAGGCAGUCAUAAGCAAGAAAACAGGAGAGAUGCAGCAAGACUAGUUACCACCACCAUGAAGCCAGCAACAUCCUGUUGGCUCGGUCUUGGUGCAGGUGAUGGAGGUCCAAGUUCCAGGUUCCAGCAGACAGACGAUGGCAAAGUCCCAGUUCCAAGCACUGAUUUUCAAUCGCUUGCAGUUCCUUUCAGUUCCUUUUUCAAGGGAGGAGUACGCAGUUUUUCCGAAGAGUCCAGCCAUUUCCACAGAGACUGCUAGCUUCAGGCGGAUAUGGUGGUUUCUUCAGGGCCUUCAGCGCCUACUCCCCCACAGCAACAGGAUGCUGAGGCUAGCAAAUGGUCAGCAAUGUCGAGACAAAUAUAGUCCAACACAGUCUCUUACACUCCUCUAUUAAAAAUUUUCAGGUGUUU
Molecule: long non-coding RNA, 546 nt
Organism: Aquila chrysaetos chrysaetos
Lineage: Eukaryota; Metazoa; Chordata; Aves; Accipitriformes; Accipitridae
Exons: 4
Source: RefSeq, a predicted model, not a curated record